CCUUGUACACACCGCCCGUCAAGUCAUGGGAGCGGGGAGUACCCGAAGUCCGCUUAGCUAACCGUAAGGAUGCGGCGGCCGACGGUAAGCUCCGUGACUGGGACU
Molecule: ribosomal RNA, 105 nt
Filed under: uncultured bacterium
Lineage: Bacteria
Description: partial 16S ribosomal RNA
Rfam family: Bacterial small subunit ribosomal RNA
Source: RNAcentral